This 467-nucleotide ribosomal RNA is filed under the name uncultured bacterium. Its description in RNAcentral is "partial 16S ribosomal RNA". It matches the Rfam family "Bacterial small subunit ribosomal RNA", at positions 28 to 507 of the family's 1533-position model. The record is from RNAcentral.
GACGAACGCUGGCGGCGUGCUUAACACAUGCAAGUCGAACGGAAAGGCUCCAGCUUGCUGGAGUACUCGAGUGGCGAACGGGUGAGUAACACGUGGGUAAUCUGCCCUGCACUCUGGGAUAAGCCUGGGAAACUGGGUCUAAUACUGGAUAUGACCUUUCUCCUUAUGGGGUUUGGUGGAAAGUUUUUCGGUGUAGGAUGAGCCCGCGGCCUAUCAGCUUGUUGGUGGGGUGAUGGCCUACCAAGGCGACGACGGGUAGCCGGCCUGAGAGGGUGAUCGGCCACAUUGGGACUGAGAUACGGCCCAGACUCCUACGGGAGGCAGCAGUGGGGAAUAUUGCACAAUGGGCGGAAGCCUGAUGCAGCGACGCCGCGUGAGGGAUGACGGCCUUCCGGUUGUAAACCUCUUUCAGCAGGGACGAAGCGUAAGUGACGGUACCUGCAGAAGAAGCACCGGCUAACUAUGUG